This 1067-nucleotide ribosomal RNA is filed under the name Paeniglutamicibacter antarcticus. RNAcentral describes it as "bacterial SSU rRNA". It matches the Rfam family "Bacterial small subunit ribosomal RNA", at positions 34 to 1110 of the family's 1533-position model. Lineage: Bacteria; Bacillati; Actinomycetota; Actinomycetes; Micrococcales; Micrococcaceae. The record is from RNAcentral.
CGCUGGCGGCGUGCUUAACACAUGCAAGUCGAACGAUGACUUUUGUGCUUGCACAGAAUGAUUAGUGGCGAACGGGUGAGUAACACGUGAGUAACCUGCCCCUGACUCUGGGAUAAGCCUGGGAAACUGGGUCUAAUACUGGAUAUGCACCGUAGACCGCAUGGUUUUUGGUGGAAAGAAUUUUGGUCAGGGAUGGACUCGCGGCCUAUCAGCUUGUUGGUGAGGUAAUGGCUCACCAAGGCGACGACGGGUAGCCGGCCUGAGAGGGUGACCGGCCACACUGGGACUGAGACACGGCCCAGACUCCUACGGGAGGCAGCAGUGGGGAAUAUUGCACAAUGGGCGAAAGCCUGAUGCAGCGACGCCGCGUGAGGGAUGACGGCCUUCGGGUUGUAAACCUCUUUCAGUAGGGAAGAAGCGAAAGUGACGGUACCUGCAGAAGAAGCGCCGGCUAACUACGUGCCAGCAGCCGCGGUAAUACGUAGGGCGCAAGCGUUAUCCGGAAUUAUUGGGCGUAAAGAGCUCGUAGGCGGUUUGUCGCGUCUGCCGUGAAAGUCCGAGGCUCAACUUCGGAUCUGCGGUGGGUACGGGCAGACUAGAGUGAUGUAGGGGAGACUGGAAUUCCUGGUGUAGCGGUGAAAUGCGCAGAUAUCAGGAGGAACACCGAUGGCGAAGGCAGGUCUCUGGGCAUCUACUGACGCUGAGGAGCGAAAGCAUGGGGAGCGAACAGGAUUAGAUACCCUGGUAGUCCAUGCCGUAAACGUUGGGCACUAGGUGUGGGGGACAUUCCACGUUUUCCGCGCCGUAGCUAACGCAUUAAGUGCCCCGCCUGGGGAGUACGGCCGCAAGGCUAAAACUCAAAGGAAUUGACGGGGGCCCGCACAAGCGGCGGAGCAUGCGGAUUAAUUCGAUGCAACGCGAAGAACCUUACCAAGGCUUGACAUGUGCUAGAUCGCCAUAGAAAUAUGGUUUCCCCUUUGGGGCUGGUUCACAGGUGGUGCAUGGUUGUCGUCAGCUCGUGUCGUGAGAUGUUGGGUUAAGUCCCGCAACGAGCGCAACCCUCGUUC